CCUACGGGUGGCUGCAGUGGGGAAUAUUGGGCAAUGGAGGAAACUCUGACCCAGCAACGCCGCGUGAAUGAUGAAGGUCUUCGGAUUGUAAAGUUCUUUUCUAAGGGAAGAAGAAAGUGACGGUACCUUAGGAAUAAGCCUCGGCUAACUACGUGCCAGCAGCCGCGGUAAUACGUAGGAGGCGAGCGUUAUCCGGAAUGACUGGGCGUAAAGGGUGCGUAGGUGGUUUGGCAAGUUAGUAGCGUAACUCCAAGGCUCAACCCCGUACUGCCGUUGAAACUGCAUCCCUUGAGUGCGCGAGAAGUAUGCGGAAUGCGUGGUGUAGCGGUGAAAUGCAUAGAUAUCACGCAGAACUCCGAUUGCGAAGGCAGCAUACCGGCGCGCAACUGACGCUCAUGCACGAAAGCGUGGGUAUCGAACAGGAUUAGAUACCCUUGUAGUC
Molecule: ribosomal RNA, 442 nt
Filed under: uncultured bacterium
Lineage: Bacteria
Description: partial 16S ribosomal RNA
Rfam family: Bacterial small subunit ribosomal RNA
Source: RNAcentral